Molecule: long non-coding RNA, 558 nt
Organism: Bufo bufo (common toad)
Lineage: Eukaryota; Metazoa; Chordata; Amphibia; Anura; Bufonidae
Exons: 4
Source: RefSeq, a predicted model, not a curated record
UAUAUACAGGGAGGUGCGGUAUACAGAGGUUUAUAUACAGGGAGGUGCGGUAUACUGAGGUUUAUAUACAGGGGGGUGCGGUAUACAGAGGUUUAUAUACAGGGGGUGCGGUAUACAGAGGUUUAUAUACAGGGGGUGCGGUAUACAGAGGUUUAUAUACAGGGAGGUGCGGUAUACAGAGGUUUAUAUACAGGGAGGUGCGGUAUACAGAGGUUUAUAUACAGGGAGGUGCGGUAUACAGAGGUUUUUAUACAGGGAGGUGCGGUAUACAGAGGUUUCUAUACAGGGGGUGCAGUAUACAGAGGUUUCUAUACGGGGGUGUGGUAUACAGAGGUUUAUAUACAGGGGGUGCGGUAUACAGAGGUUUCUAUACAGGGGGUGCGUUAUACGGAGGUUUAUAUACAGGGGGUGCAGUAUACAGAGGUUUAUAUACAGGGGGUGCGGUAUACAGAGGUUUAUAUACAGGGGGUGCGGUAUACAGAGGUUUCUAUACAGGGGGUGCAGUAUACAGAGGUUUAUAUACAGGGGGUGCGGUAUACAGAGGUUUCUAUACAGGGG